Long non-coding RNA from Hypanus sabinus (Atlantic stingray), 919 nucleotides. RefSeq lists it as uncharacterized. The record is from RefSeq and is a predicted model, not a curated record. The transcript is spliced from 4 exons. Lineage: Eukaryota; Metazoa; Chordata; Chondrichthyes; Myliobatiformes; Dasyatidae.
UAGUUUUAUGACGAAAAUCAGUUCUGUUCAAAUUAAUUCCUGAACACAAUUCAUACUUUCCUGAUAUGUGAAAUUUGGUUCUAUAAACUUGCUGUUACUGGAGAAAGGCAUCCAGGUAGUCCAGUCUUAAUGGUCAACCAACUGAAGGAGAAGAAAAAGGUCAUCCAUCCACAGUGAUCAAGAAGACAUACAGAUCAGUUUUGCACCAAGAUAUUAUGUCAAUAUGGGAGGAAGAAACCAGAGAUUCUUCAGCCAGUCCUUAUUAACGGAUCAGAGGUGGAGACAGUCAGUGACAGUAAAUUCCUUGGUGUUAUCAUUUCAGAGGAACUGGCCUGGGAUCAGCAUGUAGGUGCCAUUACAAAGAAGGCAUGAGAGCACCUCUACUUUCUUAGAAGCUUGCACAGAUUCAGCAUAUCAUCUAAAUCAUUGACACACUUCUAUAGAUGCACAGUGACUGGUUGCAUCGUGGCCUGGUAUGGAAACACCAAUGUCCAAGAAUGCAAAGACCUACAGAAAGUGAUGGAGACAGCCCAGCCCAUUACAGAAAAAGCCCUUUUCUCCAUUGAACACAUCUACUGUACAAAGAGCAUUGCCACAAAAAGCAGCACCCAUCAUCAAGGAACCCCACCAUCCAGGCCAUUCUCUCUUCAAGGGAAAGAAGUACAGUAGCCUUAGGUCUCACAUUACCAAGCUUGGAAACACCAACUCUCAAGCUCCUAAACCAGUGUAAAGAACUUCACUCAACACUGAACUGAGUCCACAACCUACAGACUCACAUUCAAGGACUCUACAACUCAUGUUCUCAGUAGUAUUUAUUUACAUACUUUUUUGUAUCCGGAUAGUGUAUUUUCUUUUGCACAUUGAUUGUUUGUCAGUCUUUGUGUACAGUUUUCCAUUGAUUCUAAUAAAAACACAAAAU